Molecule: small RNA, 416 nt
Filed under: Arabidopsis thaliana (thale cress)
Lineage: Eukaryota; Viridiplantae; Streptophyta; Magnoliopsida; Brassicales; Brassicaceae
Description: ATSL050340
Source: RNAcentral
GGUUCAAAUCCCACAGCUGUCAUCAAAUAAUUUUGUUUUGUUUUUUCUUUGGUCAACAAACUUUUAGGGGGUGUUAUUGGUUCCAAAUUUACAACGAAUUUUGAUGAUUUCAAUCAAAUCCUAGAAAGUAAAGAAAUGAAAGAUUUUAAACGAUUGUUAGAGAGUAUUUUAUAAUCUUGUUGAUUAGUUUUUCAUAAUCUUGUAAAGUUUCUCUAACAAUCUCUUUAUUUUGAUAAUACUUUUCAUGACUUUCCAUGACUUUAUUUUGUGAAGAAAAAUGUAGAAAGUCAUGAACCAAUAACAUAAUAAUUUAAAUCAUUAACAAUCAUUAACAAUCAAAGAUUCUUUUGUUUUAAUUGAAUAACACAAAACUUUUAAUGGCUUUAUAAGAGUAUGAAUCUAAUAAACCAAAAUUU